GUGUUUUCUUCACUUGCUAGAUGACUGAAUAGCCUACCUCUUUCUGGCAAAUUCUCUCGACGGAAACAACAAAGUGCAAAUGUGUGUACGAUUAUCUGUUUGGACUUUCAUUCAGAUGGCACCCAUUCACAAAAGAGGAUCCAUUGGUUAUACUAAAUUUCUCUAAAUCUGUUCCGACAAAGAAACAAACUCAUCUACAUCUUGUGUGGCCAAAGGGAGAUCGUGGAAGGGAAACUGGAGACAGCACACACCUCUUAUGAUGAUGGUGAAUGAUAAUAUCCACAAGGAGAUGACAACAGGAACAGACGUAGGAGCGAAGACCAGGAGAACAAACACAGAAGACCUUGUGACUGAUCGCUGUGGGUUUCUGUAGCAGGUGCAGCCGAAACCUUGCAGAGACCUUGAUAACAUCUCCACCUGGUGAGGAAUCGUUCAUCAGAGAUUGUGUGGGCAGAGGGAGUGUUUAAGGUAAAAAGGGCUCAAACUGUGUGAAUUAAUGAGUGUUAUUAUAAAGCACACUGUCUCUUGAAUGGAAAAAUAUAUAGAUGGAAAGACAGAGGAAAAAGAGAUGUAGCUGUGUGCAUGUCUUUUUUACUUUGUAAGAUGACAGAUGAAAAUAUGUAUUCCUUUCUCAUGGUGCAAUUGCACGACAGCUUCAUGCAAGUCAACAAGUGAAAGGGAGGAAGAGAGACUGAGAAGCUGAUGCCCUUAAUCCAUUUUGCAUGCCUGCACUGUCGUUUUACUCAGAAAAGCUGCGUUAGCCUAAUGAAGCACACACAUUCACAGGACAUGUCUACUGGCAUAGAAAGUGCCACUCAAUACCGACCAAAAUGCUUUCUUCAUCAUGGCAUGUGAUUUCUUUUAAGGGCCAAUAAAGUAGAGCCCUGCACGGGCCUCAAAUUUAGGCUCUAGCCCGGCCCUGGCCUGAGACACUCAGGCCCUAGCCCGGCCCGUGUCCGACACCUUAUCAGAAUUACCGGUCCGAUUCCGACCCAAGCCCGUCUUUUUCCCCACUUCUCCCGAAACAGCUUAUACUACUCUUUUGGCUAUUAAAAUAGUUCAUGUAUGUAGCCUAAUGGCAAAAUGGUUAUAUUUUGUUUUGUUUUUUUAUUAAGUUAAUUUAGAAAAACGUUUGGAGCAUUUUUGUUCGUUAAAUAUAGGUUUUUGUUUUUUAAAGUAACGGCCAGUGGCAGACAGUGAACUGAUCAUAGCCUAUGUUUGAUCAAUUUAGCCUUCUCAAAUCAUCACGACUUGCCUAAAAUAAAAUCUAUAUAUAUACUAAAACAGUUCAAGCAUAUAACAAUGUUUAAACGUUAAACCUGUGCUAUAAUAAUAAUGUUAUUUGUGCAAGUUUACAAGUUUGUGGAAGCUAAAGCGCGCUCUGCAGGACAUGCAGGUACCAGGGCAAUCACUUGCAUUUUUUUCAGUGGAAACAACUUAAAAUAGCCUACGCUGUAUUUUUUUUCUGAUAAAGGUAAGAGUAAUACAUCAUUCGGAACUGUAAAGGGUCUACUUUUAUUUGUGUGCACUCACAAUAUCAACAAAACGUUGUGCUUUUAUAAAACAAAGAAAACAAACAUGAUGCACUUUCUGCCAUCUCGUCUUGAACAGGAGCGCUUCACAAUAAUGAACCGAAGCUGAGCGAAUACAUGCCUCACAGACAUGAUAAAUAUAGAAAGCAUUAAAUUACCACUUAACAAAAAAAUAAAUAAAAAAAUCGAAAACAAAAACUUUUAUUAUAAUCAUAAUCCAUAAAGAUGCAUUUCUCUCUAAAGGUGCGUCUAAUGAGGAGACGGCAAGUCAGGAUCGGCAACUUCAUCCUUGCGAAACGGACUCGGAAAACACUAGUUUAUUAGUAGGCUAAAUAAUUGAAAUAUCCCCUUACUAUUUCUCUCGGACACAUUCAUGGUAAUUAUGUAUGCUGGGGCUUUGCGGCAAGCUUUAGCCUAUUGCGUGCAUUUGACGCAGAACUCUUCAGCUGGGCUGAAGUCACUUGCGUUCGCUGCUGCUGCGGAACACUUAACACCGCCAAGCCACUCUCGACAGACGCAGCAGCACGGUCUCGUGUUGUUUCCACCAGUGCAGCAAUUUUUUUUUUUCAUCACUAAUUGAUGGAUAUCUAAAAUAUAAAAAUAAAGAGAAACCUAAAACAGGCGAAAUGCAGGGCUCUACAAUAAAGGGCUUUUUUGCAAGAUGGUGCCACUAAUGGCUGCCUCCGUGGCAUGCUCCGCAGUUGUUUUUAUGUUUUUGUUAGUUUGUCCUGUCUUUAGUUAUAUCCCUGCAAUCAGUUUCACCAGAGACGAAUUGCUGGACAUUCGGCAAUACACAUCACCCGAUAUAUCACCGGUUUUCGACUAUUCUGAUGUUUUGCUGGACAUUAUAGUUGGCGGAGCAGCGGCGCUGAUCAAAUGCUUCAGGACGCGCAGACAGGGGAAACGAGCCGGCACGCUCGUGAAGCUCAGACAGCGCGGAUUUCGGACAGCACUGCCUAGCAUCCACCUGGCGAAUCUCCACUGUCUACCCAACAAAACUGACAAACUCCUUCUGCUCUCCCGGACAAAUAAAGGAUUUUGUAAACUGCUGCUCUGUGUUUCACGGAAACCUGGCUGAAUGACUCCGGAGAGUGCAUUAAGUCUGCCGGGCUUUCAACGGGGAAAUCGCGUGGCGGCGGGACAUGCUUUUACAUCAAUGAAAGGUGAUGUACAGAUUUAUCAGUGUUAAAGAAGAUGUGCUGUCGCGAUCUAGAAACAUUUUUCAUUAACUGUAAGCCUUUCUACUCACUGCGGGAGUUUUGCUCGUUCAUUCUCGUGAGUAUUUACAUUCCACCACAAGCGCACGUGAGCCUGGCUUUACAGAAACUAGCUGAUCAGAUCACAGAGAGAGAACAACAAUACCCAGACUUUUUUUUUAUCAUUCUUGGGGACUUUAAUAAAGCAAAUCUCUCCCGUGAACUGCCAAAAUACAGACAGCAUGUUACAUGUCCCUCCAGAGACAGUAAUAUAUUGAUCACUGUUACACAGCAAUAAAAUAUGCAUAUCACUCUGUCCCACAGGCAGCUUUAUGACUCUGAUCACUGUUUGGUUCAUCUUAUACCGACCUACAGGCAGAAACUGAAAUCAGCUAAACUUGUAUAAAGAACUGUUAAAAGAUGGACUAAUGAAGCAGAGCGGGAUUUAAAAGCCUGUUUCGACCUUACUGAUUGGAGUGUUUUUGAAGCUGCUGCCAAUGAUCUGGACAAGCUCACAAAGACUGUAACAUCUUAUAUCAGUUUCUGUGAAAAUAUGUGCAUUCCUACCAGGACUCAUUUAACUUACAACAACGACAAAUCGUGGUUCACUGCAAAACUCAGACAGCUCCGUCAGGCCAAAGACGAUGCUUACAGGACUAAGGAUUCAGUUCACUUCCAGCGACCAGCUGGCCCCCAUCUUCACACAGAUCUCCAACAGAUCACUGGAGCUGUGCGAAGUCCCUUCAUGCUUCAAACGCUCCACCAUCAUCCAAAAGAAAUCCAACAUUACAGGACUAAAUGACUACAGGCCUGUGGCUCUAACGUCUGUGGUUAUGAAGUCAUUUGAAAAACUGGUGUUGGCCCACCUGAAGGACAUUACUGGACCCCUUGCUGGAUCCUUUUCAGUUUGCCUACACAGCAAAAAAGUCUGUGGACGAUGCAGUCAACAUGGGACUGCAUUAUGUUCUGCAACAUCUAGACAGACCAUGGACUAAUGUGAGGAUCCUGUUUGUGGACUUCAGCUUGGCUUUUAACACUAUCAUUCCAAACCUCCUCCUGCCCAAACUAACUCAGCUCUCCGUGCUCAUCCAGCAACCGUACGAUCAGCACUGGAGAUCCUCAGGGCUGUGUUCUCUCCCCACUGCUCUUCUCCCUCUACACCAACGACUGCACAUCUAAAGACCCCUCUGUCAAGCUCCUGAAGUUUGCAGACGACACCACACUUAUUGGCCUCAUUCAGGAUGGUGAUGAGUCUGCUUACAGACAGGAGGUUAAGGAGCUGGCUGUCUGAACAACCUGGAGAUCAACAUGCUCAAUACGCUGUUGAGCGAAUCAUUGGUACAACCCUCCCUGCUCUCCAAGAACUGUACUUAUCCAGAGUGAGCAAAAGGGCUGGCAAAAUCACUCUGGACCCCUCACAUCCAGCACACUCCCUCUUUGAACUGUUGCCAUCUGGUCAACGCUACAGAGCUCUGAGCACCUGAACGGCCAGGCACAGGAACAGUUUCUUCCCUCAUGCAAUCCAUCUCAUGAACACUUGACAAUAAUUGUGGAACACACAACACUAUUUAUACACUUAUACACACAUACUUAGUCUACAUUUCAAUUUUGCACAUAAUAUAUCUGUACACACAAAACUGUCUAUUGUAAUAUACCUGUACAUACAAUUGUCAAUUUGUAUAUUGUUACUCCUUAUUUACUUGUUCAAUUUUUAAUUCUUUUAUUAUCUGUGUUUUUGUUUUGUCACUGUCAUUCUGUUGCACUGUCGAAGCUUCUGUCACAAAAACAAAUUUCUCGUAUGUGUAAACAUACCUGGCAAUAAAGCUCAUUCUGAUUCUGAUUCUGAUUCUAAAGUCAUCAUAUGCAGUGGCACCAAAAGGUUUUUGAACACAUAUGCUGAGCAUAUACAGAUGUCUUUGCAUUAUUUACAUUUACAUUUACAUUUAGUAAUUUUGCAGACGCUUUUAUCCAAAGCGACUUACAAUUGGGGAAUACAUAAAGCGAUUCAUCUUGAAGAGGCAAUCAGACAAACGAAGUGCUUGUAACACCAAGUCUCAGGCAUUGUUUAAAUAAGUACAAGCUAGUAAGGGAUGGAAUAAAUAAAGAGAAAGAGAUUUUUUUUUUUUUUUUAAGUGUAGGAUGAAGUCAAGUAGUGUCGAAAGAGAUGAGUUUUCAGCUGUUGCUUGAAGAUUGACAGGGAUCCAGCACUCCGGAUAGGGGUAGAAAGAUCAUUCCACCAGCCAGGAAUGGUGACCGAGAAUGUUCUGGAGAGUGAUUUUGAGCCUCUUUGUGAUGGUACCACGAGGCGUCGCUCACUAGCAGAUCUCAGACUUCUGGAGGGGAUGUAGAUUCUUAAUAGUGAGUGCAAGUAGGCAGGUGCUGAGCCUGUGGUUGUUCUAUAAGCAAGCAUCAGUGUCUUGAACUUGAUGCGAGCUGCGACUGGUAGCCAAUGCAAUGAGAUAAAGAGAGGUGUAACAUGGGCUCUUUUGGGUUCGUUGAAGACCAGUCGUGCUGCCGCAUUCUGAAUCAUUUGUAGAUUAUCAUUAUAUAUCCAAAUAUCAAACUAUUACCUUAUAGAAAGUACAGCAUAAAUACAGCUUAUACUAUGGGGCCGUUGAAUGCUUGAAUCUGAUUGGCUGACGAACGUUCUAAGGUGUGCAAUUAUUUUCAGGGAAAUGCACGGCGAACGUAGUUCCAGGCAGGCCUUGACCGCAUUACAUGUCCAUAUCACUUCGCCAAAUGAUUUGAGUUAUUUCAAAGGUCCUUGUUCUGCCCUUUGGGUAUUAUCUUGUUAGAGUAAUUAGGACCUUUAGCGUCAAUUAUAGUAUUGCGGCCUGAACCAGGAAGUUAUUUUAAGAAUCUAAGCGCAUGGUGAAGAUCGUUCCAGCUGCAAUAAUCCUUUGUUGCGUUCUGAAUUCACAUUAGAAAGAACUGCCUGUAAGUGAUUUAUAUUUUCUAUGUUACAGUAUUUCUAAUAAUAGAUUUGUGGCAAAUUCAUGUUGAUUUAAAAUCAUAAAAUAUUUGUGUUUAAUUCAUGACUGGUCGUUUACCCAGAUAAUCUAUUUAGUUGUAAUUAAGUUCUGUUAUUAUUAUACAAGCUACAAUUUCAUCUUAGUGUAUUUUUUUUUGUGUUUAUUUUCAGUUUCACUCCUUUGUUCAUGUCUACAUGCAGUCUCUAUUAAACGGAGCUAAAAAGCUAUAUCCCGACUCUCAUGUUAUUCAUGAAGAGAGUUUGGCUGGCUGUCUAAUCUUGGUUAAGAACACCAGUUGGAGGACAGUACAGUCCUUAAAGCCUAAAACAGCAAAAGAACCAAAACCGAAAACGACAAAUAAAUAUAGUAUACAAUAGGAUAAAAACAAUAGAUCUUUUCCAUGUUUUUGCCACAAAAUUACGUUUUAUUAUGUACGGAAAGCACAUGCUCUAUCUCUCCUGCUCUCUCUCCCUCAAAGACGCACAUACAGUUUGCACACACUUUUUAAACAUACGCACUAAUGUUGUUAGAGCUACUCUGACGAUUUGAUCAGUAAGAUCAACUUAAAAACUACAUGACUUCUCACAAGCGAGGUAACAACAAUGGCGCUGUUCGUGGAGAAAAUUAACAUAAAAGUUUCACUAUUACUACUAGAGACAUUUCUGCCAAACACUUUUGAGACUCACAGAGGUAAUCUCUCUCUCUCUCUAAUAACUUAGUUAAUAACUGUAUUAGUCUGCUAUCAACGGCUCAAACCUAUGUUACUAACGUUAGGUUUAAAAUGACGUUUUGGAAUUAGCAACGGAGGCAUUGGGUGAGAUGCGGAAGAAAUAAUCAUACUCUCAAUAGCGUUUUAAGUAGAAAAACUGGACAAAUGCCUUGAAAUAUAUCAUCUGAUCGAUGUCUUGAGGUGUGGUAACCGUAGUAUAAGCGGAAUAAUUGACUUUGGUCCCUUGAAUUCUUAGAAAAUAAUGCACACCCGAGGUGGUGAUGCGGCCACGAUGCGAAGCGGAGGGAAAAAAAUAUUAUUUUCUAAGAAUUCAACGGCCCAUCGUCAAUUAUUCCUUACAUUUAAUACUAUAUAACAAUA
Molecule: long non-coding RNA, 6790 nt
Organism: Onychostoma macrolepis
Lineage: Eukaryota; Metazoa; Chordata; Actinopteri; Cypriniformes; Cyprinidae
Exons: 4
Source: RefSeq, a predicted model, not a curated record